CAGCCGCCGCGGUAAAACCAGCACCUCAAGUGGUCAGGAUGAUUAUUGGGCCUAAAGCAUCCGUAGCUCGUUUUGUAAGUUUUCGGUUAAAUCCAUACGCUUAACGUAUGGGCUGCCGGGAAUACUGCAUAACUAGGAAGUGGGAGAGGUAGACGGUACUCGGUAGGAAGGGGUGAAAUCCUUUGAUCUAUUGAUGACCACCUGUGGCGAAGGCGGUCUACCAGAACACGUUCGACGGUGAGGGAUGAAAGCUGGGGGAGCAAACCGGAUUAGAUACCCGGGUAGUCCCAGCUGUAAACGAUGCAGACUCGGCGAUGCAUUGGCUUGUGGCCAAUGCAGUGCCGCAGGGAAGCCGUUAAGUCUGCCGCCUGGGAAGUACGUACGCAAGUAUGAAACUUAAAGGAAUUGGCGGGGGAGCAC
RNAcentral lists this ribosomal RNA (420 nucleotides) under uncultured Nitrososphaerota archaeon. RNAcentral describes it as "bacterial SSU rRNA". It matches the Rfam family "Archaeal small subunit ribosomal RNA", at positions 459 to 879 of the family's 1478-position model. The record is from RNAcentral. Lineage: Archaea; Thermoproteati; Nitrososphaerota.